GGAUGAACGCUGGCGGCGUGCCUAAUACAUGCAAGUCGAGCGAACAGACGAGGCGCUUGCUCCUCUGACGUUAGCGGCGGACGGGUGAGUAACACGUGGAUAACCUACCUAUAAGACUGGGAUAACUUCGGGAAACCGGAGCUAAUACCGGAUAAUAUAUUGAACCGCAUGGUUCAAUAGUGAAAGACGGUUUUGCUGUCACUUAUAGAUGGAUCCGCGCCGCAUUAGCUAGUUGGUAAGGUAACGGCUUACCAAGGCAACGAUGCGUAGCCGACCUGAGAGGGUGAUCGGCCACACUGGAACUGAGACACGGUCCAGACUCCUACGGGAGGCAGCAGUAGGGAAUCUUCCGCAAUGGGCGAAAGCCUGACGGAGCAACGCCGCGUGAGUGAUGAAGGUCUUCGGAUCGUAAAACUCUGUUAUUAGGGAAGAACAAAUGUGUAAGUAACUAUGCACGUCUUGACGGUACCUAAUCAGAAAGCCACGGCUAACUACGUG
Molecule: ribosomal RNA, 498 nt
Filed under: uncultured bacterium
Lineage: Bacteria
Description: partial 16S ribosomal RNA
Rfam family: Bacterial small subunit ribosomal RNA
Source: RNAcentral